RNAcentral lists this transfer RNA (86 nucleotides) under Pseudochorda nagaii. RNAcentral's name for it is "tRNA-Ser". It matches the Rfam family "tRNA". From Rfam's summary of the family: Transfer RNA (tRNA) molecules are approximately 80 nucleotides in length. The record is from RNAcentral. Lineage: Eukaryota; Phaeophyceae; Laminariales; Pseudochordaceae.
GGAUGAGUGGUCGAGCGGUUUAUGGCACCAGUUUUGAAAACUGGCGUAGUUAAUAGCUACCGUGGGUUCAAAUCCCACCUUAUCCU